RNAcentral lists this ribosomal RNA (163 nucleotides) under Pseudopodospermum hispanicum (black salsify). Its description in RNAcentral is "Scorzonera hispanica 5.8S ribosomal RNA". It matches the Rfam family "5.8S ribosomal RNA". From Rfam's summary of the family: 5.8S ribosomal RNA (5.8S rRNA) is a component of the large subunit of the eukaryotic ribosome. It is transcribed by RNA polymerase I as part of the 45S precursor that also contains 18S and 28S rRNA. The record is from RNAcentral. Lineage: Eukaryota; Viridiplantae; Streptophyta; Magnoliopsida; Asterales; Asteraceae.
AACGACUCUCGGCAACGGAUAUCUCGGCUCACGCAUCGAUGAAGAACGUAGCAAAAUGCGAUACUUGGUGUGAAUUGCAGAAUCCCGUGAACCAUCGAGUUUUUGAACGCAAGUUGCGCCCAAAGCCAUCCGGCUGAGGGCACGUCUGCCUGGGCGUCACGCA